Molecule: ribosomal RNA, 660 nt
Filed under: Triticum aestivum (bread wheat)
Lineage: Eukaryota; Viridiplantae; Streptophyta; Magnoliopsida; Poales; Poaceae
Description: partial small subunit ribosomal RNA
Source: RNAcentral
AUGACGCAUGUAAUGAUCCAUGUUUUAUCACGGCGAUCAGAUCGGUUGGCUCCAAUUGUUUCCUAUCGGGACACCCAAAGAAUCGAUUUAGAAAGCUCGCCGGUGCCGAUCUAUGUAAAAAUCGCAAAAGCAAUACGAUCGAUCAACCGGAGAUGGACGCCGACGUGGAGAGGCAGCAGGCAGUCGCGCCUCAAGGAGACCGGUGGAUCGACAAGAUCAGGUGCCCCGGCAUUCCCGCAUUACUACGUCGGAAUCGGCUCCGUCUCCGGCGUCCCGGCCGCGGCGGCGGUUGUCGACCCGGCCUUUAACCUCACGCUCGGCGUCGCCUCGUGGAACUACAUCGGGGGAGCGUGCGUCCAUCGCGACAUGUCUGUGGAGGUGGCCUACCGUGGCAUCCCGCUAGCUGACGCCAGGGCCUCGCGGUUCUGCGUUGGCGCACGGAAGGUGGCGGAGCAGCCCGUCGCCGCAAGGCGGGAGGAGGUGCGUGUGCCGGCAGACGUGAUGGAGGCCCUCGCGGCGGACACGAGGCGAGGGGAGCAGGUGUUCGACGUCAUGCUACAGGCCCCGUGGAGCUUCGCCGGGAAGAAGCUGCUGUACCGGUGCGGCGUCGGGGUCGGGCCCAGCGGCGCCGCCUGGUGCAGUGAACUUCACAUGGUGUAG